CCCACCAAACCCACCCAGUUUCAGCCAGGUGCCCGGAGCAAUGGUGCAGAGCGUGCUGUGCCGAUGCUUGGUGUGCCCAGCACCUCCUGCCCCCUCCUCCCAGCACAGAUUUGGGGACGGGUGGGAGCAGAUAGCCGCUCCUACCGCCUCUCGCCCCGGGUAGCGGCAGCAGCUCCCAUCCCUCGUGCUAGCGAGUGCGGGGAUUUGGGAUUUUGGAGGAGAUCGGGCAGAGUUGCUAAGCAACAGUGCCAGGCAGUGCCUGGCUGAAGGCAGGGCCGCUAAUGCCGUGCGACAGCGCAGCCCUUGAAGGCAGAGAGCUGCUGGGAGCAGGGAGCUGCACACAGCUCUGCA
This is a long non-coding RNA of Oxyura jamaicensis (ruddy duck), 351 nucleotides long. RefSeq lists it as uncharacterized. The record is from RefSeq and is a predicted model, not a curated record. The transcript is spliced from 3 exons. NCBI's taxonomy places the organism in Eukaryota, Metazoa, Chordata, Aves, Anseriformes, Anatidae.